This 497-nucleotide ribosomal RNA is filed under the name uncultured bacterium. RNAcentral describes it as "partial 16S ribosomal RNA". It matches the Rfam family "Bacterial small subunit ribosomal RNA", at positions 28 to 507 of the family's 1533-position model. The record is from RNAcentral.
GAUGAACGCUGGCGGCGUGCCUAAUACAUGCAAGUCGAGCGAACGGACGAGAAGCUUGCUUCUCUGAUGUUAGCGGCGGACGGGUGAGUAACACGUGGAUAACCUACCUAUAAGACUGGGAUAACUUCGGGAAACCGGAGCUAAUACCGGAUAAUAUUUUGAACCGCAUGGUUCAAAAGUGAAAGACGGUCUUGCUGUCACUUAGAGAUGGAUCCGCGCUGCAUUAGCUAGUUGGUAAGGUAACGGCUUACCAAGGCAACGAUGCAUAGCCGACCUGAGAGGGUGAUCGGCCACACUGGAACUGAGACACGGUCCAGACUCCUACGGGAGGCAGCAGUAGGGAAUCUUCCGCAAUGGGCGAAAGCCUGACGGAGCAACGCCGCGUGAGUGAUGAAGGUCUUCGGAUCGUAAAACUCUGUUAUUAGGGAAGAACAUAUGUGUAAGUAAAUGUGCACAUCUUGACGGUACCUAAUCAGAAAGCCACGGCUAACUACGUG